CUGGCGGCAGGCCUAAUACAUGCAAGUCGAGCGCGCCCUUCGGGGUGAGCGGCGGACGGGUGAGUAACGCGUGGGAAUAUGCCCUUCUCUAAGGAAUAGCCUCUGGAAACGGAGAGUAAUACCUUAUACGCCCUUUGGGGGAAAGAUUUAUCGGAGAAGGAUUAGCCCGCGUUAGAUUAGGUAGUUGGUGGGGUAAUGGCCUACCAAGCCUACGAUCUUUAGCUGGUUUUAGAGGAUGAUCAGCAACACUGGGACUGAGACACGGCCCAGACUCCUACGGGAGGCAGCAGUGGGGAAUCUUAGACAAUGGGCGCAAGCCUGAUCUAGCCAUGCCGCGUGAGUGAAGAAGGCCUUAGGGUCGUAAAACUCUUUCGCCAGAGAUGAUAAUGACAGUAUCUGGUAAAGAAACCCCGGCUAACUCCGUGCCAGCAGCCGCGGUAAUACGGAGGGGGUUAGCGUUGUUCGGAAUUACUGGGCGUAAAGCGCACGUAGGCGGACUGGAAAGUUGGGGGUGAAAUCCCGGGGCUCAACCUCGGAACUGCCUCCAAAACUAUCAGUCUAGAGUUCGAGAGAGGUGAGUGGAAUUCCAAGUGUAGAGGUGAAAUUCGUAGAUAUUUGGGAGGACACCAGUGGCGAAGGCGGCUCACUGGCUCGAUACUGACGCUGAGGUGCGAAAGUGUGGGGAGCAAACAGGAUUAGAUACCCUGGUAGUCCACACCGUAAACGAUGAAUGCCAGUCGUCGGGCAGUAUACUGUUCGGUGAC
Molecule: ribosomal RNA, 764 nt
Filed under: uncultured marine bacterium
Lineage: Bacteria
Description: bacterial SSU rRNA
Rfam family: Bacterial small subunit ribosomal RNA
Source: RNAcentral